AGAGAGACAGCGGGGACCCCGGGACCGCGCGCGUGUGUGCGCGGGGAGGGGGUGGGGUCCCCGGCCGCGGCCUCGACGUGUGUGUCGGCGGGCGCGGGGGGGAGGGCGGUUCUCGGCGUCACGGUGGGGGUCUCGGCGCCCUCCCCGCCGCCGGGGCCCGUCGUCGUUCCCGUCCCGCCGGCUGCCGUCGGGGCCGGCCGGGUUACCGCCCGCCUCUGCCGCGCCGCGCCGCCGGGCCCGGCCCGCUGGCUCUCCGCCGGCCUUCCCGCCAGGGCGCCUCGAGAGUCGUGGGGCCGGACGCUGGUCCCGGUCCCCCCCUCCUCGUCCGCCCCCUCGCCGUCCAGGUACCUAGCGCGUUCCGGCGCGGAGGUUUAAAGACCCCUUGGGGGGUGUCGCCCGUCCGCCCGUGGGUCGGGGGUCGGCGGGCGCGCCGGCGGGGGAGUUCCGUCGGGAGGGGCCCGGACCCCUCCCGUCGCCUCGCCCCGCACGGGCUCCGCCCCCUGGCGGGGGCCGCGCCGCGCGCGCGUCGCCGCCGACGCGCGCCGCGGCGGCCGUCGGGUGGGGGCUUUACCCGGCGGCCGUCGUCGUGCCGUCGUCCGCGUGCCGCGCGCGUGUCGUGUGCGUGCCCCGCGCCGUGUGGGGGCGGGAACCCCCGGGCGCCUGUGGGGUGUCCGCGCUCGCCCCGUCGUGGGCGGCGCGCGGGUCUCCCCGUGGAAGUGAAACCUUCCGACCCCUCUCCGGAGUCUGGUCCCGUUAUACUUGUCUCGCUGGCCGGCCUGAGGCAACCCCCGCUCGGGGCGUGCCGUGCCAGGAGGGCCUCCCGGUGUCGGGAGCGCCCUCGCCACAUCGACCUCGUACGACUCUUAGCGGUGGAUCACUCGGCUCGUGCGUCGAUGAAGAACGCAGCUAGCUGCGAGAAUUAAUGUGAAUUGCAGGACACAUUGAUCAUCGACACUUCGAACGCACUUGCGGCCCCGGGUUCCUCCCGGGGCUACGCCUGUCUGAGCGUCGCUUGCCGAUCAAUCGCCCCCGGGGGUGCCUCCGGGCUCCUCGGGGUGCGCGGCUGGGGGUUGCCUCGCAGGGCCCGCCGGGGCCCUCCGUCCCCCCAAGCGCAGACCCGGCGGCGCCGCCGCCCGCGAAGAGGGAGAGGGAAGAGAGAGCCGUCUCGGUCCGCGUUCCCGCGGCCGCGGCCGCCGCCGCCGCGGCCCGGGUUCCUCCCUCGGGGGGGCUCCCUCGCGCCGCACGCGGCUCGGGGUGCGGGGUUCGUUGGCCCGGGCCGGGUGGAAGGUCCCGUGCCGCCGUCGUCGCGCGUCGGCGGCGGCGGUGGGGGCGUGUGUCGUGGGGGUGGGGGGGAAGGAAGGGCGAGGUCGGAGGGGUUGCGCGGGGAGAGGUCCGGGGAGCGCGUCCCGGUCGCCGCGGUUCGCCGCCCGCCCCUGGUGGCGGCCCGGCGUCCGGCCGACCGCCGCUCCCGCGCCGCCUCCUCCCCGCCGCCGCCGCUCCGCACCGCCACCGUCCUCCUGUCCUCCCCGCCCGCCCGGCUCGCUCCGCGCGUCAGGGGCCGGAAGCCCGCCCCGCGGCCCGCCCGGCCGCGCUCGUGGCCGCGUUCCCGGGGUUUGCGUGCCCCCGGCGGUGACCCGCGGGACGCCGCGGCGUCGUCCGCCGUCGCGCGCCCGCCUCCGGUCCGCGGCCGCGUGGUGCCGCGCCGGGGCCCCGUCCCGAGCUUCCGCGUCGGGGCGGGUCGGGCGCCGCCGCCCGCUGGCCGCCGCCCGCCGCCUCCUCGGGCUCGUCCCCCACCUCCACGGGGGGGGGGGGACGGGUCGGGGGGUCGGUGGGCGGGGGUGUGUGGCGGUGGUGCGCGGCGCCCGUCCCGUCCCCGGUCCGUGCCCCUCCCUCCCGUCGUCCCCGGCGGGGCGGCGGGGGGCGCCGUCGGCCGCGGCUCUCUCUCUCUCGUCUUCUCCCCUCGCCGGGCCCGUCUCCCGACGGAGCGCCCGUGCGCCUCCCGCCCUCCGAGACGCGACCUCAGAUCAGACGUGGCGACCCGCUGA
Long non-coding RNA from Macaca mulatta (Rhesus monkey), 2045 nucleotides. The record is from Ensembl. NCBI's taxonomy places the organism in Eukaryota, Metazoa, Chordata, Mammalia, Primates, Cercopithecidae.